UAUGACACCUCUUCAUAUACUAAAAUUGGAACGAUACUGAGAAGAUUAGCAUGGUCUCUGUGCAAGGAUGACACACGGAUUCAUGAAGCGUUCUGUAUCGUU
Molecule: small nuclear RNA, 102 nt
Organism: Arvicola amphibius (Eurasian water vole)
Lineage: Eukaryota; Metazoa; Chordata; Mammalia; Rodentia; Cricetidae
Source: RefSeq, a predicted model, not a curated record